UUUUUUUUGGUGUGCAAAGUGCUGCAUGCAAUAUACUGUAGGAGGCAGUUUGUAUCUAAUAUCAAAUUAAAAAAACACUGUACUGUCUUAAAGUGUCACUAUAAGCUUCAUAUCCACUACAACUCAUUAGGUUUAUGGUGCUCAGACUCAUGUGCCUCUCCAAAGUUCUUAUCAACUGGUUUUCGUGUGGCCCCUUAUCUGGGCACAGUUAAUGCAUAAAAGAACUUUCACAUAAGCCCAUCCAUAUUUGGAUAGCAGUAAUGGGCUACAAGAGCAGAUGGCGGUUAGCCCAGUACUCUCCCCGCUUAUCGUUGUCAGCCAAAUUUACUGAAAGAAGGACUGGGCUUUAUUCUCCUAAAUACUGAAUUAACGUUAAUCAAAGGGGAAGGUCCUGUGGACAUUUUGUACCAUGAGCUGUAGUGGUUUUGGUACUGAGAGUGUCCUUUUAAUUUCCGGGAAAGGUAUACACAGAUAGAUGCAUCUUUUACGCAGACCACAUAACGCAAAACUUAAAACAAUGUAGGGAAUUUGUCAAAGUGUUGUCAACACUUUUACCUCUUUAUAAUCAGCAAAUUAUUGGUGCAAUUUAUUAAAGGAAUACUUUAAGCACCAUAACCACUCCACAUAACACUGUAGUGGUUAUGGGGCCAAGAAUGUCACUGCAAACAGUUUAACAAGUUACCUGGAGUCUAGGUGCCAGUCACCUCUACUGGUGAAGCCAGAAGCUCCUGCAAGAAGCUUCUGUUAGCUUAACUGAGUUAAUCCCUGCUGUGCAUGGUUGGCUCAGAGGUGAACAGCACCGAUCCUAUCCUAAUCCUAGCUCAGUGCUGUAGCCUCUGAAGGAGGAGGCAAACAGUGCAUUCAGGUCAGUUGUCAAAAUGAUUAAAAUGGUUUGACUACUACACCUGAGAGGGUGCCAGGGCACUCAGGAGACUCUAGUGGUUAUGAGGCCUGGAAUAUUCCUUUAAAUAUGCUGGAUUUUUUUUUUGCAUUUGCAUGCGUUGUCUUUUUUUAUACCAAGGCCAUUUUUUAAUGUAAAUUUAGUUUUUUUUACAUUUGGCAUUUUUUUUCGGUAAUGCAUUAGAUUUAUCAGAUUUUCGGCGGACUGACUUUCUUUUUUUAGUUUUAAAACACUUUAAUAAAUACAAAUCAAAAUAAUAAUAACAUUUAGCCAUCACUUUCAGAACCCUCUGAUAAAUAUUCCCCCAAGUUUUGCGACCUGUACAAAUGAUCUUGAGUCGAAAGUAAACAGAUUUAAACAGAUCUCUCAAUCAUAUAUAGAGGUGCAGUCAGAGGCCAUAUUUCAGAAGCAUUAUCUUAAUGCAAAGCAAAUUGUAGCAAAUGUACAACUAUGUACCGUUUAAUAAAUCAACCUCUGGGUAAUCAAAUUUGCAUAGGAGAUAUGCGUUUUAUAGAGUAAAACAUUGUGGGUAUAUAAACCAUACUUCUCAUGACUAGUAAUUUUUGUUACCAGAGUGAUGACCCUCAGUGAUAACUAGGGGCAGGAGUGCAGAACUAAAAUUGGAAAAAUAACUUUAUGAUAAUGCACAGCAACAUUCCACCCUUGCUGACUGAACUGCUAUUUUACAGCUGAAUCAUAAUCAGUGCAGCAAUGACUGGAAAUUUAAUGCAACAUUAUAAUACUUUUCAGGAAAAU
This is a non-coding RNA of Pelobates cultripes (western spadefoot toad), 1657 nucleotides long. The record is from the annotation of a GenBank genome assembly. Lineage: Eukaryota; Metazoa; Chordata; Amphibia; Anura; Pelobatidae.